Molecule: ribosomal RNA, 301 nt
Filed under: uncultured bacterium
Lineage: Bacteria
Description: partial 16S ribosomal RNA
Rfam family: Bacterial small subunit ribosomal RNA
Source: RNAcentral
CAGUAGCCGCGGGAAUACGAAGGGGGCUAGCGUUGCUCGGAAUGACUGGGCGUAAAGGGCGCGUAGGCGGAUGGUACAGUCAGACGUGAAAUUCCUGGGCUCAACCUGGGGACUGCGUUUGAGACGUGCGAUCUAGAGUUUGGAAGAGGGUCGUGGAAUUCCCAGUGUAGAGGUGAAAUUCGUAGAUAUUGGGAAGAACACCGGUGGCGAAGGCGGCGACCUGGUCCUUGACUGACGCUGAGGCGCGAAAGCGUGGGGAGCAAACAGGAUUAGAUACCCCGGUAGUCCCUGUCUCUUAUAC